UACAGAGGUCUCAAGCGUUGUUCGGAUUCAUUGGGCGUAAAGGGUGCGUAGGCGGCGCGGUAAGUCGGGUGUGAAAUCUUGGAGCUUAACUCCGAAACUGCAUUCCAUACUGCGGUGCUUGAGGACUGGAGAGGAGACUGGAAUUCAUGGUGUAGCAGUGAAAUGCGUAGAUAUCGUAAGGAAGACCAGUGGCGAAGGCGGGUCUCUGGACAGUUCCUGACGCUGAGGCACGAAGGCCAGGGGAGCAAACGGG
Molecule: ribosomal RNA, 253 nt
Filed under: uncultured bacterium
Lineage: Bacteria
Description: partial 16S ribosomal RNA
Rfam family: Bacterial small subunit ribosomal RNA
Source: RNAcentral